GGGGAAGGGUAGCUUGCUACCUGACCUAGCGGCGGACGGGUGAGUAAUGCUUAGGAAUCUGCCUAUUAGUGGGGGACAACAUUCCGAAAGGAAUGCUAAUACCGCAUACGCCCUACGGGGGAAAGCAGGGGAUCUUCGGACCUUGCGCUAAUAGAUGAGCCUAAGUCAGAUUAGCUAGUUGGUGGGGUAAAGGCCUACCAAGGCGACGAUCUGUAGCGGGUCUGAGAGGAUGAUCCGCCACACUGGGACUGAGACACGGCCCAGACUCCUACGGGAGGCAGCAGUGGGGAAUAUUGGACAAUGGGCGAAAGCCUGAUCCAGCCAUGCCGCGUGUGUGAAGAAGGCCUUUUGGUUGUAAAGCACUUUAAGCGAGGAGGAGGCUACUGAGAUUAAUACUCUUUGGAUAGUGGACGUUACUCGCAGAAUAAGCACCGGCUAACUCUGUGCCAGCAGCCGCGGUAAUACAGAGGGUGCGAGCGUUAAUCGGAUUUACUGGGCGU
This 500-nucleotide ribosomal RNA is filed under the name uncultured bacterium. Its description in RNAcentral is "bacterial SSU rRNA". It matches the Rfam family "Bacterial small subunit ribosomal RNA", at positions 68 to 561 of the family's 1533-position model. The record is from RNAcentral.